ACGAUUUGAUUUAGGAUUUAAGAUUUGAUUAUGAUUUGAUUUAGGAUUUAGGAUUUUAUUAGGAUUAGGAUUUGAUCAGGAUUUGGUUUAGAAUUUAGGGUUUAGGAUUUGGUUUAGAAUUUAAGAUUUGAUUUAGGCUUUAGAGUUUGGUUAGGAAUUUGAUUUAGAGUUAGGAUUUGGUUAAGGUUUAAUUUAGAAAUUGAUUUAGGAUUUAAGAUUUGAUUAAGAUUUGAUUUAGGAUUUAGAGUUUGAUUAGGAUUUGAUUUAGAAUUAGAGUUUGAUUUAGGAUUUAGGAUUUGGAUUAGGAUUUAGAGUUUGGUUUAGGAUUUAGGAUUUGGUUUAGUAUUUAGAAUUUGGUUUAGGAUUUAGAAUUUGAUUUAGGAUUUAAGGUUUGGUUAGGGUUUGAUUUAGGAUUUAGGAUUUUAUUAGAGUUUGAUUUAGGAUUUGAUUAGGAUUUAGUUUAGGAUUUAGGAUUUAGGAUUUUAUUAUGGAUUGUUUAGGAUUUAGUUUAGGAUUUAGGAUUUAGGAUUUUAUUAUGGUUUGUUUAGGAUUUAAGAUUUAGUUAACUUUUGGCCUAAAAUUUGAAUGAAGGCCAAUACGAUUUUAACUAGGAUUAAAUUAAGAUUGAAUUGAGAUGUAUUUGAGAUGUAUUUGUGAUCAUUCUAAUAUUUCUUUAAGAUUUUUUAUUAUUUCUUUGUAAUUUCUUUGAAGUUUCUUUGAAUUUGAUUAAAUCUUGCUUAGCAUUGUUAUGGUAUAAUUAGAAUU
This 765-nucleotide long non-coding RNA is filed under the name Physcomitrium patens. Its description in RNAcentral is "long non-coding RNA (PPAT_LNC009276)". The record is from RNAcentral. Lineage: Eukaryota; Viridiplantae; Streptophyta; Bryopsida; Funariales; Funariaceae.